This is a long non-coding RNA of Piliocolobus tephrosceles (Ugandan red Colobus), 1067 nucleotides long. The record is from Ensembl. Lineage: Eukaryota; Metazoa; Chordata; Mammalia; Primates; Cercopithecidae.
AUGAAUUUAAAUAUUUACAAUUUAAUAAUUAUUUUAAAGUUUUAUCAGUAUCUUUUUUUAUAUGAUUUUAUUUUAAAUUUUUUAAUCGAAUUAUAUAAUAUUAUAAGUAUAAAUAAAAUAAUGAAUUUAGGAACAAUUGUUAUUUAUUUUUUAUGUAAAAUAUAUUAUGAAAAAAAAAAUUAUAUGUUUUCAUUAUAUUUAUUGAUGCUUUUUUUUAAUAAUGAAGAAGAAUUAUUUAUUUUUAAUUCGAUUGAUGAUACUGUUCUAAAAAGUAGAAAAUAUGAUUUGAUUCAUUUUUAUGAGUCUUUUUGGCGAUUUAGUGGUUAUAAAACGUACUUAAAACCUUGCUCCAGAGACGUUCAAGAACCUAUGAUAUGUUUAGUACUUAGUUGCCUUGGGUUUUUAUUAAAUUAUGACAAGGUGAGUACAAACAUAGAUAAAGAAUAUUUAAAAAAUGAAUCUUUUGAUAUAAAAGAGUAUGAUGCAUUAUUUAUUGAAAUAUGUUUUGGGUAUUUAAAUAUUUUAAUUAUGAAUAAAAAAUAUAAGGAACAGAAAGAGUUCAGUGAUUUUAUGCAAAAGUAUUUCAAAUUUGUAGAUAAAAAACAAUCUUAUUUACCUUUAUAUAAUAUUGAUAUAUUUCUUUGUGAUAUUUAUAUUAACUUAUAUUACUUAUUGGAAAAUAAUAAUUAUAGAAUUUUUUUAAGAAUAAAAAACAAAAGUCAUGUUAAUUUUUUUUUUUACCAUUACUUGGAAUCGUAAUAAAUAAAGAAAUAUAUAUGUUUAAUUUAAAAUAUUCUAAUAGUUAUGAAGAUAUUCAUUUUUUAUUUGGUCAACUUUUGAAUAAUGAUGAGGAUGAUGAGGAUUAUGCGGGUUAUGAGCAUGAUAAUGUUAAUGAUGUAUGUAAAAAUGAUUUGUUUUUACGAAAGUAUAUAACACAAGAAAUGGAAACAUCUUUGGCGCAGAUGUUUACUAUCACUGAUAGUACCAAUAAUAGUCGCAAUCAGAAUAAUAAUAGUUUUUUACGGUUAAACAAUAAAAAUAGUAUUAGUCUUAUAUUAAAAAAAAAG